UGGCUCAGGAUGAACGCUGGCGGCGUGCCUAAUACAUGCAAGUCGAACGCUUUGUCUUUAAUUGAUCUGACGAGCUUGCUCUGAUUUGAUUUUAUCUGACAAAGAGUGGCGAACGGGUGAGUAACACGUGGGUAACCUACCUCUUAGCAGGGGAUAACAUUUGGAAACAAGUGCUAAUACCGUAUAAUACCAACAACCGCAUGGUUGUUGGUUGAAAGAUGGUUCUGCUAUCACUAAGAGAUGGACCCGCGGUGCAUUAGCUAGUUGGUAAGGUAACGGCUUACCAAGGCAAUGAUGCAUAGCCGAGUUGAGAGACUGAUCGGCCACAAUGGGACUGAGACACGGCCCAUACUCCUACGGGAGGCAGCAGUAGGGAAUCUUCCACAAUGGGCGCAAGCCUGAUGGAGCAACGCCGCGUGUGUGAUGAAGGGUUUCGGCUCGUAAAACACUGUUAUAAGAGAAGAACGGCACUGAGAGUAACUGUUCAGUGUGUGACGGUAUCUUACCAGAAAGGAACGGCUAAAUACGUGCCAGCAGCCGCGGUAAUACGUAUGUUCCAAGCGUUAUCCGGAUUUAUUGGGCGUAAAGCGAGCGCAGACGGUUAUUUAAGUCUGAAGUGAAAGCCCUCAGCUCAACUGAGGAAUGGCUUUGGAAACUGGAUGACUUGAGUGCAGUAGAGGAAAGUGGAACUCCAUGUGUAGCGGUGAAAUGCGUAGAUAUAUGGAAGAACACCAGUGGCGAAGGCGGCUUUCUGGACUGUAACUGACGUUGAGGCUCGAAAGUGUGGGUAGCAAACAGGAUUAGAUACCCUGGUAGUCCACACCGUAAACGAUGAGUGCUAGAUGUUCGAGGGUUUCCGCCCUUGAGUGUCGCAGCUAACGCA
Molecule: ribosomal RNA, 883 nt
Filed under: Weissella paramesenteroides
Lineage: Bacteria; Bacillati; Bacillota; Bacilli; Lactobacillales; Lactobacillaceae
Description: bacterial SSU rRNA
Rfam family: Bacterial small subunit ribosomal RNA
Source: RNAcentral